GUAGGGAAUAUUGCGCAAUGGGGGAAACCCUGACGCAGCAACGCCGCGUGGAGGAUGACACUUUUCGGAGCGUAAACUCCUUUUAUCGGGAAAGAAUAAUGACGGUACCCGAUGAAUAAGCACCGGCUAACUCCGUGCCAGCAGCCGCGGUAAUACGGAGGGUGCAAGCGUUACUCGGAAUCACUGGGCGUAAAGGGUGCGUAGGUGGAUUAUCAAGUCUCUUGUGAAAUCUAAUAGCUUAACUAUUAAAUUGCUUGGGAAACUGAUAGUCUAGAGUAGGGGAGAGGCAGAUGGAACUCUUGGUGUAGGAGUAAAAUCCGUAGAUAUCAAGAAGAAUACCUAUUGCGAAAGCGAUCUGCUAGAACCUAACUGACACUGAUGCACGAAAGCGUGGGGAGCAAACAGGA
This 407-nucleotide ribosomal RNA is filed under the name uncultured bacterium. RNAcentral's name for it is "bacterial SSU rRNA". It matches the Rfam family "Bacterial small subunit ribosomal RNA", at positions 354 to 777 of the family's 1533-position model. The record is from RNAcentral.